This 67-nucleotide transfer RNA is filed under the name Dracogyra subfuscus. RNAcentral's name for it is "tRNA-Pro". Lineage: Eukaryota; Metazoa; Mollusca; Gastropoda; Neomphalida; Peltospiridae. The record is from RNAcentral.
CAGAAAAGUAGUUUCAAAAAAAAUAUUAGCAUUGGAAGCUAAAGACUAGGCUAACCCUACUUUCUGA